GCGGAUACAGUCUGUGUGAUCCUGAGCCCGGGUGUGCAGGUGGAAGCUGUGUGAUCCUGAGCCCAGGUGUGCGGAUACAGUCUGUGUGAUCCUGAGCCCAGGUGUGCAGGUGGAAGCUGUGUGAUCCUGAGCCCAGGUGUGCGGAUACAGUCUGUGUGAUCCUGAGCCCGGGUGUGCAGGUGGAAGCUGUGUGAUCCUGAGCCCAGGUGUGCGGAUACAGUCUGUGUGAUCCUGAGCCUGGGUG
Chlorocebus sabaeus (green monkey) is the source of this 244-nucleotide non-coding RNA. The record is from RefSeq and is a predicted model, not a curated record. Lineage: Eukaryota; Metazoa; Chordata; Mammalia; Primates; Cercopithecidae.